Glycine soja is the source of this 191-nucleotide long non-coding RNA. RefSeq lists it as uncharacterized. The record is from RefSeq and is a predicted model, not a curated record. Lineage: Eukaryota; Viridiplantae; Streptophyta; Magnoliopsida; Fabales; Fabaceae. The transcript is spliced from 3 exons.
UCUCUGAGGAAGAAGCCUGAUAUUAACAUCAAAGGUGCAAUUAACAGUGCAAUGAAGACAAUAACCAGUUCUUUUGAAGGCAUGUCUAAUCAAGGUGCACCUCGGUGGGUUGAACCCAAGACUAAUGUGCAAAGUGGAGGGUUUGAGUGCGGAUAUUAUGUCAUGCACUGGAUGUGGUGCAUCGUGACUGC